Molecule: ribosomal RNA, 301 nt
Filed under: uncultured bacterium
Lineage: Bacteria
Description: partial 16S ribosomal RNA
Rfam family: Bacterial small subunit ribosomal RNA
Source: RNAcentral
CAGUCGCCGCGGGAAUACGUAGGGUGCGAGCGUUAAUCGGAAUUACUGGGCGUAAAGCGUGCGCAGGCGGUUUUGUAAGACAGGCGUGAAAUCCCCGGGCUCAACCUGGGAAUGGCGCUUGUGACUGCAAAGCUAGAGUGCGGCAGAGGGGGAUGGAAUUCCGCGUGUAGCAGUGAAAUGCGUAGAUAUGCGGAGGAACACCGAUGGCGAAGGCAACCCCCUGGGCCUGCACUGACGCUCAUGCACGAAAGCGUGGGGAGCAAACAGGAUUAGAUACCCCCGUAGUCCCUGUCUCUUAUAC